Trifolium pratense (red clover) is the source of this 1184-nucleotide long non-coding RNA. RefSeq lists it as uncharacterized. The record is from RefSeq and is a predicted model, not a curated record. NCBI's taxonomy places the organism in Eukaryota, Viridiplantae, Streptophyta, Magnoliopsida, Fabales, Fabaceae. The transcript has 4 exons.
AAGCUUUCUAUAGGAAUGCUCCUCCAAAUUAAGCAAAAGAAUGAGCCAUAAAGAAUUACCAACAUCAUAUACCAACAAAUCAACUGUGUCGCUCACAGGCGGUUUGGCAACCGCCAAAAACCCUAGCAAUUGCCUGCGGUUUCAACUGCCGCUGUGUGCUCCUCCUCAACACAGUUGUAGAAGGACACGAAUAUAGCUCUCGAGAAUAGUUCGAAUUUGCGUGCAUGAGGAGGACAAGAAAUAGUUUGAAGUUGCGAAUCUGAAGGAGAAGAUUGAUAGAUCCAGGUUCGAAGAGUGGAGGUGGUAUGAAUUGAUUCUCUACUGCAUAAAGCAACAUGUUUCAUCUGGAUUUCAUGGAGCUAUUGAAUUAGAACUUGGCACUAGAACUUGCAUUGAGCAAUGUAGAUGACAAGUGCAUAAAUCACAGAGUGGCUGAGGCUGUGGAGAGCUAGGAGGCUCUCAGGAUGCAUUGAUUUGGGUUGUGUCCGCAAAGGAUGUCAUGGUUUGGUUUUCGUUAAUAUCUAUCACUAUUUGCAUUGUGUAAGCUAUUUAUGCAAAGCUAUAGAUAGUAACUAUUCACAUUCAGCAAUGAACAUGAUUAUUAACACUUUUGUCAUUUUCAAUUUGUUUAAGUUUUCAAUAUUGUUCUGGAGUAGACUAGAAUUAGUCCACUUCAUAUCCCCUAAGUCCAUAAUGGCUUGCCCCACCACAUCCAUGUCAGCAGAACAUGGUGGAACCUCUCCACCAAGAUAGGAGUAGAUCCCUGCUUCACCCACUAUCUAAGGGUAAUAUCUUGGCAGUCCAACAUAUUGGGCCUAACCUGAUCCAACCUAAUAGAGCUGGGGGGCUAUAUAAGCUCUUCUAUACAGGAGAGCUAGGUAACACUAUUCAUUCACUCAAUUACUUUCUCUCUCUUGUAUCUCUCUUACUCUCAUUCCCACUCUAACUUUGGCAUCGGAGUACCUGCAGGUACAAACCCCCCCUCUGUGGAUCAUCUGCUCGACCCGCCGUCAACCACCUGCUCAAUGGACUGCUAGUUGACCAUCUACAUGUUCUGAUCAACAGAUAAGACCAAAUAUGAUGGUCUAUAGCUAGCUUGUAGUUCAUCUAAAUUAGGACACUAAACUGAGAUGUUAUGUAUGUCAAAUAUGUGAUGAGAAUAGUAUAAUUUAUAACCAAUUGAA